This 441-nucleotide ribosomal RNA is filed under the name uncultured bacterium. RNAcentral describes it as "partial 16S ribosomal RNA". It matches the Rfam family "Bacterial small subunit ribosomal RNA", at positions 338 to 795 of the family's 1533-position model. The record is from RNAcentral.
CCUACGGGGGGCAGCAGUGGGGAAUAUUGCACAAUGGGGGAAACCCUGAUGCAGCAACGCCGCGUGAGUGAAGAAGUAUUUCGGAAUGUAAAGCUCUAUCAGCAGGGAAGAAGGAAGACGGUACCUGACAAAGAAGCACCGGCUAACUACGUGACAGCAGCCGCGGUAAUACGUAGGGGGCAAGCGUUAACCGGAUCCACUGGGUGUAAAGGGAGCGUAGACGGCCAGGCAAGCCUGGAGUGAAAGCCCGGGGCCCAACCCCGGGACUGCUCGGGGAACCGGCCGGCUGGAGUGCGGGAGGGGCAGGCGGAAUUCCUGGUGUAGCGGUGAAAUGCGUAGAUAUCAGGAGGAACACCGGCGGCGAAGGCGGCCUGCUGGACCGCGACUGACGUUGAGGCUCGAAAGCGUGGGUAGCGAACAGGAUUAGAUACCCGAGUAGUC